AACGAACGCUGGCGGCGCGCCUAACACAUGCAAGUCGAACGAGAAUCCGGGGGCAACCCGGUAGUAAAGUGGCAAACGGGUGAGGAAUACAUGGGUAACCUGCCCUUGAGAAGGGAAUAACCCGCCGAAAGGUGAGCUAAUACCCUAUACGCUCUUUUUCUGCGGAAAGAGAAGGAAAGCUAAGUCGUGGAUUUGGCACUCAAGGAGGGGCUCAUGUCCUAUCAGCUUGUUGGUGGGGUAACGGCCUACCAAGGCUACGACGGGUAGCUGGUCUGAGAGGAUGAUCAGCCACACUGGCACUGAGAUACGGGCCAGACACCUACGGGUGGCUG
Molecule: ribosomal RNA, 332 nt
Filed under: uncultured Nitrospirota bacterium
Lineage: Bacteria; Pseudomonadati; Nitrospirota
Description: bacterial SSU rRNA
Rfam family: Bacterial small subunit ribosomal RNA
Source: RNAcentral